CCGAGCGGGCGACUGAGGCCGCGGCCUAGAGCGCCCCCUCCCCGCCCGCGCGCGCGCGCGCGCGCAGCUGCGAGAGAGGCGCCAUGUUGGAUUAGGGCGGGUUUUGCGCGGAGUCGGACCCCGCCCCGCCUACGCUGGAGACCGUUGGAAGAAAGGGGGGCGGGCAUGGCUUGUGAGGGCGUCGGGUGGGACUGGGCAGGGAACGGAGGAGGCCAGCCUUGUGGAGCGGGCCAGCAUGGGGGGAGGGGGCUUUGAAGGUAUUUCGGGUCAGGCUGAGGCUGGAGCGCGGGCUCCAGUGUCAGGUGUGGGAACCAAGGUCGCUGAGGCCAGUGCGGAGUUCUCAGUAUUACUGGGAUCUGCUCUCCUAGUGGAAAGGUGUCAAGCAGGCCCUGAGGCUGACCCUGUGCUGAGGCAUCUGUCCUCCUGGAGCCGGGGUCUGCCUCCCCUUCUGAGGUAUUUGGGCCUCUUUGCGUUUGUAUGAUUCACUCACAGGUCGGCUGCAGGGAGUCCCAACAUCAUCAUCAUGCAAAACUGAGGGUGGGAGGGGUGUAUGAGGAGAUGGAAAACCUCCUGCUGCAGGCACCACAAGGAAUUGUACCCGUGCCUGCUGAGCCAGUCUGCCUUUGGGUUCAGGUGCCUGUUGAUGUGGAUCGCUCUGAGGGAAAUGAGGAACUGUUCUGCUCACCUUGUUAUUUCCACGUGUAGUGCCAGACACCUAGUUCCCCCUUGGUUGUUUAAAUACCCCUCUAUAAGCUUAUUUUCUGAUUGAACCAGGAUGUGGGUUCCCCUUAGGGUCGAGCCUGGAACCCUGGCAGAGCUAACCUGACUGCUCUCAGCUGCCCAGAGGCCCUUGGUAUGUGUUGUAAGGACUAAAGGAUUUAGAAGGCAGAGGAGCAUGGCUUUGUGGAUGCUGUUGUAGACUGACCACUGUUAAAGGAGUUGAACAUCUGUGCUGGAACCCAUACUUGAUUUUUCAUGUGCUGUAUGGAGUCCUAUAUCUUUCAUAUGAAAGUUUGAAGACUUCUGAUGCAUGCUUGUGCCCGUGGAGCAAUCCCUAUGCACAGCACUAGGAGUCCUUGCAGUUGGAGGCAUAGUGCCUCCUGGAGCUCUGGAGCAAGAAAAUAAAUUCCUGGGUAAAACCAAAUAACUUUUCUUGGCACUGAUGAUGAAGCCUUGCACAUGGAGGAGAGUCCACAUCCAAGAUGUAGCCUUGAGCACUGCUGACAGUGAUGGAGCUCUGAUCAGGAUGUUGUCCAGGAAGGGAUACAGUGAACUCCCGGAUAGCAUUGAUGUUACAGCCUCCUCUUCCAAUGACUCUGGAAAUUACUGUUGAUGGGACAGAAACCUUUUUUGAUCUACACAGAAAAAAAAAGUAUUAAGUCAACUGGAGAAGUGUUGGUAGUCUGAAAUAAGAUGAGGAUCAGCAGGAAGCUAUUAAGUUUGAGAGAGAGAUCCCGAGUUGGUGUUUAAGAGGAGAAAUUUAUCACUUCUACUCUCAAACUAAUACAUUCAUUUUAACUGCAAGAUGGGGAACAAUGAAAGAAAAGUGUUCUGUCAAAAAAGAAACAUAAAAAGGGGUAACACUACUGGCAUGUCUGACUUUGCAUAUGCACACAUACCUUCUUACAACCUCCUUCCAUCCUUCUUCUCUCUUCUGACCACGUUUAGGGCUAGCUAUGGUUAAUUUUCCAUUUGGAGAAGAAAGGGGAGAAGGUCCAGAUUUUGUGCAAGUGGACAAGGAGUUGCUGGUUACUUCACUGAUAACCUCAGACAGCCUUUAAAAAAAAUAAUUCAGUGCUUUUAGAUAAAUUAUUUCUUCAAACUCAGCGUAACACACAAACCAUGUGGCCAUUUUUCUUUAGCCUUUGGGCACUAAGCUUGUUAGGAGCUCCAGCAUUUUAGAAAAUCAUAACUUGAUAGAGUUAGCACAUAUCUGCCCAGAUACAUAAGUGCACUAAGCACAAGUGAUCAUUCAUUAAAGAUAGUUAAUAUACAUAUGCAGCAAAAUAUCGAAACAGUAUUUUAGCAGCUAACUAAUAGCUAAUUUGGUUUUGCUAUUUUUUCCCCUUCUGCUGAAAGCUAGGAACAGGUUCACUGCAUCUGAGGAAGAUGCAGAGAAAUAAACUACCUAGAAUACUGGAGAAGCAGUAUAUAUAUAUCAAUAAAAUAGCAGUAUGGACUUCAUUUUUUCCUCUUAUGUGUCUGACAGGAUUAGGAUUAACCAAUCAGUAUGAAUUUGUGUAUGCGGCAUUUUGGAAUGCACCUAGAAACAUAAUAUUCAAAGUUUCAUUUGAACUUCUAAAACCACCCAUGUAAUAUCCACUGGAUUAGGUGCCACUUGAACUCAGCAGCACGGUACCUGAAACCUAUGCUAAAAUACUCCCCUUUUACUUGCUGGCAUUGCUAAACGACUAGCCACUAGCCAUGGUACCUGUUGCCAAAGAACACUUCCUAUACGAACGCUGAACUGACUGAAAUGCUUCUGUCUGGGAAAGCGUAUAUAGCAAGACAACCCACUGGUUAAAGAUCUGUGGAUAGGCUUCAUGCCUCAGCCUACUGGUUUAAUAUAAUUCAUGUCCUGAAAAGGUUUGGUCUCCUCACACAAUAUUUACAUUCAUAUAAAUAGAAAAGCAAGGACAUUUGUGCUCUUAUCUAUUUUAUUCUUGUACUUUACAAGACUCUAACGAGGCUAUGAAAAACAGAUCUUGAAAGUCAUUUUCAGCAGGAAGUUCCAGUUAUUUUAUACUGGGAGUUAUUACGUACGGUCACAAUAACUUACUUUAUAGAUGACUUGCCAGAAAUUGCUUUCCUCUCGUCCUUUGGAAAAGUGACAAGUACCGAUGGCUGUUUCUUGGUGCUCAGCGUGUUAGUGGCUGCUGUGGAAGAAUGACUGUCACUUUUGUGGCUGCUGUUGCUAUUGCUGCUUUCGUCACUACAGCUGGAAAUCCUCAUGUUGUCACUGUCACCACUUUCACUGGUACUGCUGCUCUUCGACUCGCCACUGGCUUUUUCUGGUUGACCAUAGGAGAUUGGGAGCUGAUCAUCAAAUAGAAUCUGAACAUUAUCUGGGUGAAUUUUGUUUUUCCUGCUUUUCCUCUUGGAGCUGGCUGUGGUGAUGGUAUUGUUCCUUUUCCCAUGGGAACCUGCUAACGUAGUCCACGUUGCAGAUAUACCUAUGGUGGUUGUAGUGGUGGCACUAGGAGGCUCCAUUAGGACCUCAGG
Long non-coding RNA from Chelonia mydas (Green sea turtle), 3222 nucleotides. RefSeq lists it as uncharacterized. NCBI's taxonomy places the organism in Eukaryota, Metazoa, Chordata, Testudines, Cheloniidae. The record is from RefSeq and is a predicted model, not a curated record. The transcript has 2 exons.